CGAAACCGAUAGCGAACAAGUACCGUGAGGGAAAGUUGAAAAGUACUCUGAAUAGAGAGUUAAAUAGUACGUGAAACCGCUUAGGGGUUAAGCCCGAUGAACCCGAAUAUCUGAUGUGAGAAAUUCAAUACUGUUCCAGUUAAAUGGUGAUAGUAUGCACUUUUCUCAUAGUAAGACAUUGUAAUCCAUUGAUGCUAUAUCUCUUUCAUUUAUGGGGGAGAUGAUUUAACAUACGGACAAGAUGUAUAUGAUUAUUCUAUCAGUGAUGUGUUUACAUGUCAUAUGAAUAAGAUCGUUUUGUACCUGUUUAAAUAGUCGAUGGAUUUUGACUGAAUCAUGCUUGCAAUUUAUUUUGCGUUUCGUGUUAUCGGCCAUAUUUUGGUUGGUAAUAGCAGAAAUGGCAUGCAUUCGAUUAACAAUGCGAUAGAUUUGGGAUACUUUCAGGACCCGUCUUGA
Molecule: ribosomal RNA, 456 nt
Filed under: Halodiplosis sp. 2 JOS-2019
Lineage: Eukaryota; Metazoa; Arthropoda; Insecta; Diptera; Cecidomyiidae
Description: partial large subunit ribosomal RNA
Rfam family: Eukaryotic large subunit ribosomal RNA
Source: RNAcentral